Molecule: ribosomal RNA, 513 nt
Filed under: uncultured Planctomycetaceae bacterium
Lineage: Bacteria; Pseudomonadati; Planctomycetota; Planctomycetia; Planctomycetales; Planctomycetaceae
Description: bacterial SSU rRNA
Rfam family: Bacterial small subunit ribosomal RNA
Source: RNAcentral
AGAGUUUGAUUCUGGCUCAGAACGAACGUUGGCGGCGUGGAUUAGGCAUGCAAGUCGAACGAGAACCAGCUUUGUAGCAAUACCGAGUUGGGGAAAGUGGCGAAAGGGGCAGUAAUGCGUGGGUAACGUACCUCGGGGAUGGGCAUAGCUGGCCUAACGGCCAGGUAAUUCCCAGCGAUUUGGUUGAGGGGCAUCCCUUGGCCAGGAAAUGAAUUUCGCCUCGAGAGCGGCUCACGUCGUAUUAGCUUGUUGGCGAGGUAACGGCUCACCAAGGCUAAGAUGCGUAGCGGGUGUGAGAGCACGACCCGCGCCACUGGCACUGAGACACUGGCCAGACACCUACGGGUGGCUGCAGUCGAGGAUCUUCGGCAAUGGGCGCAAGCCUGACCGAGCGACGCCGCGUGUGCGAAGAAGGCCUUCGGGUUGUAAAGCACUGUCGAGGGGGAGGAAGCCGCAAGGUUGACCUAUCCCUGGAGGAAGCACGGGCUAAGUUCGUGCCAGCCGCCGCGGUAA